This 842-nucleotide ribosomal RNA is filed under the name uncultured bacterium. RNAcentral describes it as "partial 16S ribosomal RNA". It matches the Rfam family "Bacterial small subunit ribosomal RNA", at positions 8 to 861 of the family's 1533-position model. The record is from RNAcentral.
AGAGUUUGAUCCUGGCUCAGGACGAACGCUGGCGGCGCGCCUAACACAUGCAAGUCGAACGGAGCUGAGAGAGCUUGCUUUUUCAACUUAGUGGCGAACGGGUGAGUAACGCGUGAGUAACCUGCCCCAGAGAGGGGGACAACAGUUGGAAACGACUGCUAAUACCGCAUAAGCCCACGGCACCGCAUGGCGCUGAGGGAAAAAGGAGUUAUUCGCUUUGAGAUGGACUCGCGUCCGAUUAGCUAGUUGGUGAGGUAAGGGCCCACCAAGGCGACAAUUGGUAGCCGGACUGAGAAGGUUGAACGGCCCCAUUGGGACUGAGAACACGGCCCAAACCCCUACGGGAGGCAGCAGUGGGGGAUAUUGCCCAAUGGGGGAAACCCUGAUGCACCGACCCCCCGGGGAGGAAAAAGGUUUUCGGAUUGUAAACUCUAUUAGCUAGGAAGGAUAAGGCGGUUCCUGAACAAGAAGCCCCGGGUAAAUUAGUUCCCGCCACCGGGGUAAUAAGUAAGGGGCCAGGGUUAUUCGGAAUUUAUGGGGGGAAAGGGGAGGUCGGGCGAGAGGCCAAGCAGAAAGGGAAACCCAGGGGUUCACCCCAGGAAUGGUUUUGAAAAUGUUAUUUUUGAAUUAGGGAGGGGGUAGAGGAAUUUCCCGGGGAGCGGGGAAAAGGGUAGAAAUUAGGAGGGACCCCCGGGGGGAAGGGGGCUCUAUGGGGCACCAAUGACCGUGGGGCUUGGAAAGCAGGGUAGCAAACAGGAUUAGAUACCCUGGUAGUCCACACCGUAAACGAUGAUUACUAGGUGUUGGGGGGAUGACCCCUUCCGUGCCGCAGUUAACACAAU